RNAcentral lists this long non-coding RNA (412 nucleotides) under Arabidopsis lyrata. RNAcentral's name for it is "long non-coding RNA (ALYR_LNC000360)". The record is from RNAcentral. Lineage: Eukaryota; Viridiplantae; Streptophyta; Magnoliopsida; Brassicales; Brassicaceae.
UACCCCUGAAAUAAAUUGCGCCAAUUUUCCCUCCGAGAAUUUCGUAGGGGACAGGGAUAUCAUGCAAAUAUUCUUUGGGCCCCCACUUAUUUAAUGCUCGCAGAGAUACAUGUCGUAGCAUUAAAUGCAAAAGUAAUUAUGGGAAGAUAAGAAAUCACAGCUACGAGAUAUCUUAUCACGAUAUCUUUCCCCCAUCCCUUUAUAUGCUUUAGUGUCCUGAUAUAUAUCUUCGUAUCACGUUAUACGUUUACAGACUGUGGCACGAAAGAUUCGGAAUUAAAUUGCGGGAAUUUUCCCUCCGAGAAUUUCGUGCAAAUAUCCUUUGGGCCCCACUUAUUUAAUGCUCGUAGAGAUACGUGUGUUGCAACAGAGAUACAUAUCUGGAUAUAUAUGCGUUUAUCCGAUACACGGU